RNAcentral lists this unclassified non-coding RNA (216 nucleotides) under Hevea brasiliensis (rubber tree). The record is from RNAcentral. Lineage: Eukaryota; Viridiplantae; Streptophyta; Magnoliopsida; Malpighiales; Euphorbiaceae.
UCCUUCGACUUUGCACCAGAAGAUAAAGUACAUUAUGGACGGCAAAAUCAUCACUGUGAGAGGGAAAGAAGCCAUAUUGGUCACCAAGCCACAAUCACUUCCUUAUGUGGAAGCUGCUGAGGAGUCGUUGGAAAGCUCUUUCCAGGCCCUCGAAUUACAAGAAACCAGAAAUGAAGGGGCUAUGGCUAUGGUAGCCAAGAUAAUGUCAAGGAAUGG